This 230-nucleotide ribosomal RNA is filed under the name uncultured fungus. RNAcentral's name for it is "partial 26S ribosomal RNA". It matches the Rfam family "Eukaryotic large subunit ribosomal RNA", at positions 62 to 289 of the family's 3401-position model. The record is from RNAcentral. Lineage: Eukaryota; Fungi.
AAACCAACAGGGAUUGCCUCAGUAACGGCGAGUGAAGCGGCAAAAGCUCAAAUUUGAAAUCUAGCACCUUCGGUGUUCGAGUUGUAAUUUGAAGAUGGUAACCUUGGGUUUGGCUCUUGUCUAUGUUCCUUGGAACAGGACGUCAUAGAGGGUGAGAAUCCCGUCUGAUGAGAUGCCCAUUCCUAUGUAAGGUGCUAUCGAAGAGUCGAGUUGUUUGGGAAUGCAGCUCU